This 262-nucleotide ribosomal RNA is filed under the name uncultured bacterium. RNAcentral describes it as "partial 16S ribosomal RNA". It matches the Rfam family "Bacterial small subunit ribosomal RNA", at positions 355 to 632 of the family's 1533-position model. The record is from RNAcentral.
UGGGGAAUAUUGCACAAUAGGCGAAAGCCUGAUGCAGCAACGCCGCGUGAGUGAUGAAGAUCUUCGGAUUGUAAAGCUCUGUCUUUUGGGACGAUAAUGACGGUACCAAAGGAGGAAGCCAACGGCUAACUACGUGCCAGCAGCCGCGGUAAUACGUAGGGUGGCGAGCGUUGUCCGGAUUUACUGGGCGUAAAGGGUGCGUAGGCGGAUGUUUAAGUGAGAUGUGAAAUACCCAGGCUUAACUUGGGUGCUGCAUUUCAAA